This 24-nucleotide non-coding RNA is filed under the name Arabidopsis thaliana (thale cress). The record is from RNAcentral. Lineage: Eukaryota; Viridiplantae; Streptophyta; Magnoliopsida; Brassicales; Brassicaceae.
UAGUGUGUAAUCUGUUGUGGGCCA